RNAcentral lists this ribosomal RNA (543 nucleotides) under Triticum aestivum (bread wheat). RNAcentral's name for it is "partial small subunit ribosomal RNA". The record is from RNAcentral. Lineage: Eukaryota; Viridiplantae; Streptophyta; Magnoliopsida; Poales; Poaceae.
AUGGCCGCCUCAGUACAAACGCCUUGUUUCCUCUCACUCACCUCUAGUCUCAUCCCUCGCCAAGAACCCGCCUCCGCUUCCAAGAGUCUCGAGGUCUCCGCCGUCGACCGAAGCAGCAACAACAUGAAGCGCUUGCUGAGCCGGCUCUCCCGCGUGGCCGCCGCCGACGCCUGCGCAGCCGCCGCGUACCAGCCGCUCCGGCCCGACGCUGCGGCCAAGGGCUCCUCCGCAGUCUCCUCUCCCUCGUCCUCAUUCUUCGGCGCGCGAAGGCUCAGCAGAGGCGCGUGGGUGCCGCAGGGGCACGUGCCGGUGUGCGUCGGCGAGGAGGGCGGCCCCGUGGAGCGCUUCGCCGUGCGCGCCGAGCUCCUGGGCCAGCCGGCGUUCAAGGCCCUGCUCUGGCGCUCUGCGCAGGAGUACGGCUACGGUCACCCAGGAGCGCUCCGCAUCCCCUGCGCUGUGGCCAACUUCCGCCGCCUCCUCCUCGGCCUCUCCGACCCCGGCUGCAAGGCCACCGACGACGACGAUGCCGCGCUCUACUAUUAG